UAGCCCUGUCUAGACUAUCCUGCA
RNAcentral lists this unclassified non-coding RNA (24 nucleotides) under Mus musculus (house mouse). RNAcentral's name for it is "oocyte_clustered_small_RNA12213". The record is from RNAcentral. Lineage: Eukaryota; Metazoa; Chordata; Mammalia; Rodentia; Muridae.